GUAAUUCCAUGAUCCUCAAGGGAGGUUACAUGGUGGUGCCACUGUAGUUUGUCGUGAUUGACCGUAUGAAUGGCCGAAGUUCAGGAUGGGGUUUACCUUGACAUUCUAAUGAUCAUCCAUGCUCAAUUAGAGAGUGAUGAGUCAUGUGGUGAGAAUAGGAGGAGGUCCUGGUCUUGGGUGUCUCCAUUUUAUAUGGGCCAAGAUGAGUUUGGUUGGACUUACACUUGUGUGUGGUCAGGUGAAACCCCUCGGCAAUGGCUUUGCAAAGCAGUAGGGCCACCACAAGUGCACAAACCCCUGGAACUCGACAUUUCAUACUAGUCCGGACGGUCAAAUCACGUGGUCUGUCCUUGGUAUCAAUAAAAUGCAUUCAGUUACAGUUUGUGUUGUAUUAUUGUCAUCACAUGCUUGAUAUACUUGAUUGAUAACAUGCUUUUUAUACCUAGCUUACCCUUGCUUUGUGUUUGUUGUAUGUGCUUGCCCUCCCCC
RNAcentral lists this long non-coding RNA (489 nucleotides) under Vigna radiata. RNAcentral's name for it is "long non-coding RNA (VRAD_LNC007525)". Lineage: Eukaryota; Viridiplantae; Streptophyta; Magnoliopsida; Fabales; Fabaceae. The record is from RNAcentral.